GACGAACGCUGGCGGCGUGCUUAACACAUGCAAGUCGAACGGAAAGGCCCUGCUUUUGUGGGGUGCUCGAGUGGCGAACGGGUGAGUAACACGUGAGUAACCUGCCCUUGACUUUGGGAUAACUUCAGGAAACUGGGGCUAAUACCGGAUAGGAGCUCCUGCUGCAUGGUGGGGGUUGGAAAGUUUCGGCGGUUGGGGAUGGACUCGCGGCUUAUCAGCUUGUUGGUGGGGUAGUGGCUUACUAAGGCUUUGACGGGUAGCCGGCCUGAGAGGGUGACCGGCCACAUUGGGACUGAGAUACGGCCCAGACUCCUACGGGAGGCAGCAGUGGGGAAUAUUGCACAAUGGGCGGAAGCCUGAUGCAGCAACGCCGCGUGCGGGAUGACGGCCUUCGGGUUGUAAACCGCUUUCGCCUGUGACGAAGUGUGAGUGACGGUAAUGGGUAAAGAAGCACCGGCUAACUACGUG
This 468-nucleotide ribosomal RNA is filed under the name uncultured bacterium. RNAcentral's name for it is "partial 16S ribosomal RNA". It matches the Rfam family "Bacterial small subunit ribosomal RNA", at positions 28 to 507 of the family's 1533-position model. The record is from RNAcentral.